AUGGCCGCCGACGCGCUCUCCAUCAUCCCGGGCGCCGUGCUGCGCAACCUCGCCGACAAGCUCUACGAGAAGCGGAAGAACGCCGCGCUCGAGAUUGAGGGGAUCGUGAAGCAGCUGUCCACGGCGGGGGAGCACGACAAGAUUGCGGCCGUGAUCGGGCUGCUCACAAACGAUUUCACAUACUCCCCCCAGGCGAACCACCGGAAGGGCGGAUUGAUUGGGCUCGCGGCAGUUACUGUAGGGCUCACCAGUGAGGCUGCUCAGCACCUCGAGAAGGACUGGGACAAUAAUUGGUACUCCCUCCGUUCACAAAGUUUUGGUCAUUUCAAUAUGGACUACCUAAUUGUACCUCCCGUGCUUAAUUCUUUCCUGGACCAAGAUAGCAGAGUGCGCUACUAUGCCUGUGAAGCGCUAUAUAACAUAGCGAAGGUUGUAAGAGGGGAUUUUAUCAUCUACUUCAACAAGAUUUUUGAUGCGCUAUGCAAACUGUCUGCAGACUCUGAUGCAAAUGUGCAGAGUGCAGCUCAUCUUCUUGACAGGCUUGUCAAGGAUAUUGUAACUGAGAGUGAUCAAUUCAGCAUAGAAGAAUUUAUACCACUCUUGAGAGAACGCAUGAAUGUGCUGAAUCCUUAUGUGCGGCAAUUUUUGGUGGGGUGGAUCACGGUUUUAGACAGUGUGCCUGAUAUUGACAUGCUUGGUUUCCUUCCUGAUUUUCUUGAUGGUUUAUUUAAUAUGCUGAGUGAUUCCAGUCAUGAGAUAAGGCAGCAAGCAGAUGCAGCACUUUCAGAGUUUCUGCAGGAAAUAAAAAAUUCACCAAAUGUAGAUUAUGGUCGUAUGGCUGAAAUUCUUGUUAGGAGGGCAGGCUCUCCUGAUGAAUUCACUCGUUUGACAUCUAUCACAUGGAUCAAUGAGUUCGUGAAGCUUGGUGGGGAACAACUAGUCCCUUACUAUGCUGAUAUCUUGGGAGCUAUCUUGCCAUGCAUCUCUGACGAGGAGGAGAAAAUUCGAGUGGUUGCACGUGAAACUAAUGAGGAACUUCGAGCUAUAAAAGCUGAUCAAGCCGAGGGAUUUGACAUUGGAGCGAUUCUUGUGAUCGCAAAGAGAGAAUUGAAUAGCGAACAUGAAGCCACUCGGAUUGAGGCAUUACACUGGUUUUCCACUUUACUAGUUCGAGGUCGUGCUGAGUUCUCGGCAUACCUGGAUGGCAUUUUUGAACCACUUCUAAAUGCACUCUCCGAUCCUUCAGAUGCGGUUGUCCUUUUAGUGUUGGAAGUUCAUGCACGCAUAGCUGAAGAGUAUCAUCACUUCCAACAUCUCAUGUCUUACUUAAUCCAUACUUUCCACAACAAUCAUGUUCUUCUGGAGAAGCGUGGUGCUUUGAUUGUUCGUCGACUUUGUGUUCUUCUGGGUGCUGAAAAAGUUUAUCGAGAGUUUUCUACUAUUCUUCAGACUGAAGGUGACCUUGAUUUUGCCUCCACCAUGGUUCAGGCAUUGAAUUUGAUUUUGCUCACAUCUACUGAACUUGCGGAGCUGCGGUCUCUUCUUAAAAAGUCAUUGGUGGAUACUUGUGGGAAGGACUUAUUUCUAUCUUUAUACGCUUCUUGGUGCCACUCUCCAAUGGCUACAAUCAGCUUGUGCUUACUUGCUCAGGCAUACAAUCAUGCGAGUUCUGUUAUUCAGUCUCUGGGAGAAGAAGACAUAAAUGUGAAGUUUCUGGUGCAGCUAGAUAAAUUGAUCCGUCUAUUAGAGACUCCAGUAUUUGCUUACUUGCGUUUACAGCUUCUUGAGCCUGGAAAACACACUUGGCUUCUGAAAACACUUUACGGUCUCCUUAUGCUCUUGCCUCAGCAAAGUGCGGCCUUCAAGAUCUUGAGGACUCGACUGAAGACAGUGCCUUUCAGUGAAAAUCUCAAGCGCACAUCUUCUGCAAAUCCAUACUCUCAGAUUCUACAAGUGACAGAAGAUGGCAAUCGAAAUCAAGAUGUGCCAAACUAUAGCGCAAUCGAUUUUUCAUCUCGUCUCCAGCAAUUUGGGAGCAUGCAGCAGCAGCACCGAAACCAUUUGAAGAAUCAACUGCAAUCUCGAAAAUCCGCUUCAGCAGCAGUAUUAUCGCAGGAGAUUCAAAGAUAUGAAGAAUCAGAAUCCUCCUCAACACCAGAGAUAAGCAGGCCCCCAUCUAGAGCACCCAAAGCCAUUUCAUGA
Molecule: ribosomal RNA, 2202 nt
Filed under: Triticum aestivum (bread wheat)
Lineage: Eukaryota; Viridiplantae; Streptophyta; Magnoliopsida; Poales; Poaceae
Description: partial small subunit ribosomal RNA
Source: RNAcentral